CGCGGUUAUACCAAGUGAUUAAGUUAUAUUUUUAGGUAAAAAGACAGUUAGGUUUAAAUACUUGAAAUUUAGUUUAUUAAACAUCUAUAAAAAAGUAAAAUUUGCAUAUAGAUAGCUAAUUUAAAAAUGACUAAGAAUUACAAAUGCUGAAGCUGUGAUAGUCUUGAGGGAAACUGGGAUUAGAUACCCCAUUAUUCUUGAUUGUAAAUAUAAUUAAAUUUACCAGAGUACUAUGAAUAGUUAAAAAUUUAAAACUCAAAGGGCUUGGCGGUGUUUUAGACCUAUCAGGGGAACCUGUCUCAUAAUCGACAAUCCACGUAAUAUCUAACCUUAUUUUGUAAUCAGUUUGUAUACCGUCGUCGUCAGGUAACUUUUAAAAACAUAGAAGUUAGCAAUUAAAAUUAACAUAAAUUAAAACGUCAGAUCAAGGUGCAGCCUAUAAUAAGGAGAGGAUGGGUUACAAUUAUAAAAAUUAUAAUUACGGAAAUUUAAAUGAAAUAAUUAUUUCGAAGGAGGACUUGAAAGUAAACUAAAAUAUAUAAAUAGUUUGAAUAAGGCUCUG
This 562-nucleotide ribosomal RNA is filed under the name Nassarius bimaculosus. RNAcentral describes it as "partial 12S ribosomal RNA". The record is from RNAcentral. Lineage: Eukaryota; Metazoa; Mollusca; Gastropoda; Neogastropoda; Nassariidae.